AGGAAUUUAGGUUAAAACAGACCAAGAGCCUUCAAAGCUCUAAGUAAGUAACCANUACUUAAUUCCUG
This 68-nucleotide transfer RNA is filed under the name Dremomys rufigenis laomache. Its description in RNAcentral is "tRNA-Trp". Lineage: Eukaryota; Metazoa; Chordata; Mammalia; Rodentia; Sciuridae. The record is from RNAcentral.